Molecule: ribosomal RNA, 305 nt
Filed under: uncultured bacterium
Lineage: Bacteria
Description: bacterial SSU rRNA
Rfam family: Bacterial small subunit ribosomal RNA
Source: RNAcentral
UCCUCCUACGGGACGCAGCAGUGGGGGAUAUUGCACAAUGGGGGGAGCCCUGAUGCAGCGACGCCGCGUGGGUGAAGAAGCGCCUCGGCGCGUAAAGCCCUGUCAGCAGGGAAGAAAAUGACGGUACCUGAAGAAGAAGCCCCGGCUAACUACGUGCCAGCAGCCGCGGUAAUACGUAGGGGGCAAGCGUUAUCCGGAUUUAUCGGGUUUAAAGGGUGCGCAGGCGGUCUGUUAAGUCAGCGGUCAAAGCCCGGGGCUCAACCCCGGCCCGCCGUUGAAACUGGCAGUCUCGAGUUGGAGAGAAG